Molecule: ribosomal RNA, 475 nt
Filed under: Iniistius pentadactylus (fivefinger razorfish)
Lineage: Eukaryota; Metazoa; Chordata; Actinopteri; Labriformes; Labridae
Description: partial small subunit ribosomal RNA
Rfam family: Bacterial small subunit ribosomal RNA
Source: RNAcentral
CACUAUGCCUAGCCCUAAACAUUGAUAGUCGUUCACCCAACUAUCCGCCCGGGUACUACGAGCAGCAGCUUAAAACCCAAAGGACUUGGCGGUGCUUUAGAUCCACCUAGAGGAGCCUGUUCUAGAACCGAUAAUCCCCGUUUAACCUCACCCCUCCUUGUCAUUCCCGCCUAUAUACCGCCGUCGUCAGCCCACCUCAGUGAGAGUCUAGUCGUGAGCGAAACUGGUACUACCCUAAACGCCAGGUCGAGGUGUAGCGUAUGGAGGGGGAAGAAAUGGGCUACAUUCAAUAUCCUACAAUGAAUACGGAUGGUAAAUUGAAAAAUUUUCCUGAAGGAGGAUUUAGCAGUAAGCAAGAAGCAGAGUGUCUUGCUGAAUCUGGCCCUGAAGCGCGCACACACCGCCCGUCACUCUCCCCAAGAACACUAAACUCAUAACUAAUAAGCCAAAAAAGAGAAGGGGAGGUAAGUCGUAA